This is an RNA transcript of Sebastes umbrosus (honeycomb rockfish), 1021 nucleotides long. RefSeq lists it as uncharacterized. The transcript has 9 exons. NCBI's taxonomy places the organism in Eukaryota, Metazoa, Chordata, Actinopteri, Perciformes, Sebastidae. The record is from RefSeq and is a predicted model, not a curated record.
GAAGCAUGAAAGUGAAAGUGUGCAGUUUGUUAUCCAGACUCCAUUCUGAGAAAACGACACAGAGAUGUGACGACUGAAGAUAGAAGCAGGUCAGUUAUUCCAGACUCCAUUUUGUGUUAACGGCACAGAGAGGUGACGACUGAAGACUGAAGCAGGUCAGUGUUCCUGUUUGACCUCUCAGACUGACUUCAGAUCAGAAGAUGAUUGACUGUGUGGAGGAAGAGGAGGACAGAGCAGAGUCUCUAGUCUCUGGCCGUCAGUCUAUGAAGAGUGAUCGGUCUAAAGGUGAUCCUCCAGUCUUCAGUGAUGAACCUGGACCCUCAGAGUCAAAAGUUCAGUCCAGACGGAGAGCAGAGUCUCCAGUACCCAGCUGUCUGUCUGUGAAGAGUGACUGGUCCAUGAUGAAUCCUCCAGCCUUCAGUAAUGAACCUGGACCCUCAGAGUCAAAACUGACUUCAGAUCAGAAGAUGAUUGACUGUGUGGAGGAAGAGGAGGACAGAGCAGAGUCUCUAGUCUCUGGCCGUCAGUCUAUGAAGAGUGAUCGGUCUAAAGGUGAUCCUCCAGUCUUCAGUGAUGAACCUGGACCCUCAGAGUCAAAAGUUCAGUCCAGACGGAGAGCAGAGUCUCCAGUACCCAGCUGUCUGUCUAUGAAGAGUGACUGGUCCAUGGGGAAACCUCCAGGCUUCAGUAAUGAACCUGGACCCUCAGAGUCAAAAGUUCAGUCCAGACAGAGAGCAGAGUCUCCAGUACCCAGCUGUCUGUCUAUGAAGAGUGACCGGGUCCAUGUCGGAACCUCCAUUCUUCAGUAAUGAACCUGGACCCUCAGACACAAAAGAGAAGAAGAGGAGUCCUGCUUCUGUGGACGAGCUGAUGUCCAGAUCCACAACAAGACCUGGACCUCAGACAGCCAGUCAGACCAGAACAAGACCUGGACCUCAGACAGCCAGUCAGACCAGCACUGUACAAAAUAGAGGUCUGCAGGAGGUUGUAGAUGAACAUAAGAUCAGUCUGAGGAGGAGAU